Molecule: RNase P RNA, 391 nt
Filed under: Sandaracinaceae bacterium
Lineage: Bacteria; Pseudomonadati; Myxococcota; Polyangiales; Sandaracinaceae
Description: RNase P RNA component class A
Rfam family: Bacterial RNase P class A
About the family: Ribonuclease P (RNase P) is a ubiquitous endoribonuclease, found in archaea, bacteria and eukarya as well as chloroplasts and mitochondria. Its best characterised activity is the generation of mature 5'-ends of tRNAs by cleaving the 5'-leader elements of precursor-tRNAs.
Source: RNAcentral
CAGAGCGGCCCAGGCGGUCGCUUGCAGCUCAUUGAAAAACAAGCUGCAAGAGGAAAGUCCGAGCUCCACAGGGCAGGAUGCCAGCGAAAGGCUGGUGGGGGUGACCCCAAGGAAAGUGCCACAGAAAACAUACCGCCUCCACCGCUCAAAAAGCGCUGGGGGCAAGGGUGAAAAGGCGAGGUAAGAGCUCACCGGGCUUGUGGUAACACAAGCCGCAUGGCAAACCCCAUCCGGAGCAAGACCAAAUAGGGAGGCGCUUGAGGGUGGCCCGCCCGAUGCCUCCGGGUGAGUCGCUUGAGGCCUGUGGUGACACAGGUCCCAGAGGAAUGACCGCCACCUGUGCGUGGUGACGCGCCCAGGAACAGAACUCGGCUUAUGGGCCCUCUGGCCU